GCUCUCCUGAUUGCACUGAGAUGUAUGGACACUGUUUGGCUCCCCUGGAAAAGCACAGGCCCUUUAGGGGGACGGUCCAGACAUUCUUCAAGUUUGCGACACCCCCCAUGGGGUCUGCACAGACUGCUCUCUACCAAGAUCUCCAGAGCCUCACAUCGGUCAGUGCCCCCAAAGAGGCAGAGUCCGGCUUCAGGCCUCUAGCCUUCUCUCUUUUGGGGAAGAAAAUACCUCUACUCCGAAGGCAGCCAGCACAUAUUUUACUCACAACAGUCAGCAGAUGGCUGUGGAUCCCAGGAAUCACAUCAGGACAAAGCUCGCUGUGCAUUUUCCAUCACUGGUAG
This 341-nucleotide long non-coding RNA is filed under the name Bos indicus x Bos taurus (hybrid cattle). RNAcentral's name for it is "lncRNA (ENSBIXG00005017532.1)". Lineage: Eukaryota; Metazoa; Chordata; Mammalia; Artiodactyla; Bovidae. The record is from RNAcentral.